CAGCAGCCGCGGUAAUACGUAGGGUGCAAGCGUUAAUCGGAAUUACUGGGCGUAAAGCGUGCGCAGGCGGUUCUAUAAGACAGAUGUGAAAUCCCCGGGCUCAACCUGGGAACUGCAUUUGUGACUGUAGAGCUGGAGUGCGGCAGAGGGGAUGGAAUUCCGCGUGUAGCAGUGAAAUGCGUAGAUAUGCGGAGGAACACCGAUGGCGAAGGCAAUCCCCUGGGCCUGCACUGGCGCUCAUGCACGAAAGCGUGGGGAGCAAACAGGAUUAGAGACCCCCGUAGUCCCUGUCUCUUAUACA
RNAcentral lists this ribosomal RNA (301 nucleotides) under uncultured bacterium. Its description in RNAcentral is "partial 16S ribosomal RNA". It matches the Rfam family "Bacterial small subunit ribosomal RNA", at positions 509 to 808 of the family's 1533-position model. The record is from RNAcentral.